UACGUAGGGUGCGAGCGUUGUCCGGAAUUACUGGGCGUAAAGAGCUCGUAGGUGGUUUGUCGCGUUGUUCGUGAAAACUCACAGCUCAACUGUGGGCGUGCGGGCGAUACGGGCAGACUGGAGUACUGCAGGGGAGACUGGAAUUCCUGGUGUAGCGGUGGAAUGCGCAGAUAUCAGGAGGAAUACCGAUGGCGAAGGCAGGUCUCUGGGCUGACACUGACGCUCAUGCACGAAAGCGUGGGGAGCAAACAGG
RNAcentral lists this ribosomal RNA (253 nucleotides) under uncultured bacterium. RNAcentral's name for it is "partial 16S ribosomal RNA". It matches the Rfam family "Bacterial small subunit ribosomal RNA", at positions 524 to 776 of the family's 1533-position model. The record is from RNAcentral.